UUAAUACUCCCUCCGUCCGAAAAAGCUUGUCCCAAGCUUGUCCUUUGAAUGGAUAUAUCUAGCACCAAAUUAGUGUUAUAUAGAUCCAUUUGAGGGACAAGCUUUUCUGGACGGAGGGAGUACGAU
Triticum urartu is the source of this 126-nucleotide non-coding RNA. NCBI's taxonomy places the organism in Eukaryota, Viridiplantae, Streptophyta, Magnoliopsida, Poales, Poaceae. The record is from Rfam.